RNAcentral lists this ribosomal RNA (463 nucleotides) under uncultured bacterium. Its description in RNAcentral is "partial 16S ribosomal RNA". It matches the Rfam family "Bacterial small subunit ribosomal RNA", at positions 28 to 507 of the family's 1533-position model. The record is from RNAcentral.
GACAAACGCUGGCGGCGUGCUUAACACAUGCAAGUCGAACGGAAAGGCCUUUUCGGAGGUACUCGAGUGGCGAACGGGUGAGUAACACGUGGGUGAUCUGCCCUGCACUCUGGGAUAAGCCUGGGAAACUGGGUCUAAUACCGGAUAGGACCGCACUUUAGUGUGUGUGGUGGAAAGUUUUUUCGGUGUAGGAUGAGCCCGCGGCCUAUCAGCUUGUUGGUGGGGUAAUGGCCUACCAAGGCGGCGACGGGUAGCCGGGCUGAGAGGUUGGUCGGCCACAUUGGGACUGAGAUACGGCCCAGACUCCUACGGGGGGCAGCAGUGGGGAAUAUUGCACAAUGGGCGCAAGCCUGAUGCAGCGACGCCGCGUGGGGGAUGACGGCCUUCGGGUUGUAAACUCCUUUCGCCAGGGACGAAGCGUUUUGUGACGGUACCUGGAGAAGAAGCACCGGCUAACUACGUG